RNAcentral lists this ribosomal RNA (493 nucleotides) under uncultured bacterium. RNAcentral's name for it is "partial 16S ribosomal RNA". It matches the Rfam family "Bacterial small subunit ribosomal RNA", at positions 29 to 508 of the family's 1533-position model. The record is from RNAcentral.
AGUGAACGCUGGCGGUAGGCCUAACACAUGCAAGUCGAACGGCAGCACAGUAAGAGCUUGCUCUUACGGGUGGCGAGUGGCGGACGGGUGAGGAAUACAUCGGCAUCUACUUUUUCGUGGGGGAUAACGUAGGGAAACUUACGCUAAUACCGCAUACGACCUACGGGUGAAAGCAGGGGAUCUUCGGACCUUGCGCGAUUGAAUGAGCCGAUGUCGGAUUAGCUAGUUGGCGGGGUAAAGGCCCACCAAGGCGACGAUCCGUAGCUGGUCUGAGAGGAUGGUCAGCCACACUGGAACUGAGACACGGUCCAGACUCCUACGGGAGGCAGCAGUGGGGAAUAUUGGACAAUGGGCGCAAGACUGAUCCAGCCAUACCGCGGGGGUGAAGAAGGCCUUCGGGUUGUAAAGCCCUUUUGUUGGGAAAGAAAAGCAGCAGGUUAAUACCCCGCUGUUCUGACGGUACCCAAAGAAUAAGCACCGGCUAACUUCGUGC